RNAcentral lists this ribosomal RNA (487 nucleotides) under uncultured bacterium. Its description in RNAcentral is "partial 16S ribosomal RNA". It matches the Rfam family "Bacterial small subunit ribosomal RNA", at positions 28 to 523 of the family's 1533-position model. The record is from RNAcentral.
GAUGAACGCUGGCGGCGUGCUUAACACAUGCAAGUCGAACGAAGCACUUUUGAUUCUUCGGAAAAGAAAGUGACUGAGUGGCGGACGGGUGAGUAACGCGUGGGUAACCUGCCUUAUACAGGGGGAUAACAGUUGGAAACGACUGCUAAUACCGCAUAAGCCGACAGGGCCGCAUGGCCUGGUUGGAAAAGAUUUAUCGGUAUAAGAUGGACCCGCGUCUGAUUAGCUAGUUGGUGAGGUAAUGGCUCACCAAGGCGACGAUCAGUAGCCGGCUUGGGAGAGUGAACGGCCACAUUGGGACUGAGACACGGCCCAAACGCCUACGGGGGGCAGCAGUGGGGAAUAUUGAACAGUGGGGGAAACCCUGAUGCAGCAACGCCGCGUGAAGGAAGAAGUAUUUCGGUAUGUAAACUUCUAUCAGCAGGAAAGAAAAUGACGGUACCUGACUAAGAAGCCCCGGCUAACUACGUGCCAGCAGCAGCCGCCG